AAGGAUCAUUAUUGAAAAUAAACCUGAUGAGUUGCUGCUGGUUCUCUUGGGAACAUUGUGCACGCUUAUCAUCUUUAUAUAAUCCCCUGUGCACCUUUUGUAGAUUCUGGGAUAGCUCUCUGAAUGCUUAUUUUGUAAGCAGACAGGUUUGAGGACUGACAUUUGUCUUUCCUCGUCUUUCCAGGUCUAUGUUUUCUUCAUAUACCCCAAAUGUAUGUUACAGAAUGUAAUCAAAUGGGCCUUUUGUGCCUAUAUGAAAAAUGUACAACUUUCAGCAACGGAUCUCUUGGCUCUCGCAUCGAUGAAGAACGCAGCGAAAUGCGAUAAGUAAUGUGAAUUGCAGAAUUCAGUGAAUCGUCGAAUCUUUGAACGCACCUUGCGCUCCUUGGUAUUCCGAGGAGCAUGCCUGUUUGAGUGUCAUUAAUAAUAUCAACCUUGCUCGUUUGAGUGUUGGAUGUGGGGGGAUAUUUGCUGGUCUUUCUCUCUGAGGUCAGCUCCCCUGAAAUACAUUAGCUGGAACAACUUGUUGAUCGUUCAUUGGUGUGAUAACUAUCUACGCUAUUGACGUGAAGCAGUUCGGCUUCUAACAGUCCUUUUUUUCAUUAAAUGUGACCUCAAAUCAGGUAGGAUUACCCGCUGAACUUAA
Molecule: ribosomal RNA, 646 nt
Filed under: Cortinarius radicatus
Lineage: Eukaryota; Fungi; Basidiomycota; Agaricomycetes; Agaricales; Cortinariaceae
Description: eukaryotic LSU rRNA
Rfam family: 5.8S ribosomal RNA (bases 267-420)
Source: RNAcentral